This 181-nucleotide non-coding RNA is filed under the name Microbulbifer rhizosphaerae. RNAcentral's name for it is "6S / SsrS RNA". It matches the Rfam family "6S / SsrS RNA". Rfam says of the family: E. coli 6S RNA was the first non coding RNA to be sequenced, but its function was unknown until recently. It consists of 184 nucleotides that fold into an extended hairpin structure with a large single-stranded internal bulge. Lineage: Bacteria; Pseudomonadati; Pseudomonadota; Gammaproteobacteria; Cellvibrionales; Microbulbiferaceae. The record is from Rfam by way of RNAcentral. RNAcentral also lists the same sequence under 1 other name.
UCUGCCCUGAGGUGUUGGCCAGUUGACUAUGUCCUCGAGCCGAUAACGUCACCCUGGCGGCUUCCAGCGGGUACUGGUGCGCAAGUCCGCCAAGCAGCGGAAAGCCUAAUGUAUCCCGGAGGCCUCCACCUUGAACCCUACGGUUCAAGGCUACGUCUUCAGCCGCACGCUCGGGGCUCCU